Molecule: long non-coding RNA, 1322 nt
Filed under: Heterocephalus glaber (naked mole-rat)
Lineage: Eukaryota; Metazoa; Chordata; Mammalia; Rodentia; Bathyergidae
Description: lncRNA (ENSHGLG00000038038.1)
Source: RNAcentral
CUUGCCUCCAGGAGCUUGGGGUCUUCACAUCCCUGCCGCAGCGAGCCAUCUCCGUCUCACAGGACGGACAUGGACAUAGCCUUAGAGGGCAGACUUGAAGGUGCUUGUUCUGACCCCUGAGGGUGUCGCAUCCGAGGCUCUGAGGUCAGCAGAGGCAUUGCCCACUGCAAUCCCAGAGCUUCACGUGGAGGGGCAGAACAUUUUGUUCCAGCUCUACUGUAGAGUGAAAUAUCGAAUCACAUUGAGGGCCGGAGAUUUAGCUCAGUGGUUCUGUCACCUGCCUCGCAAGCACAAGGUCCUGAGUUUGAUCCCUGGUACCAAAAAAAAAAAACCCCAAAUCAAAUCACAUUGAUAGUAAAACAGGACACCUGGAGAGAUGUUUAUGCUGACAGUAGGUGCCCUCAUCCCCCAAGAGACUGUGCAUCUGGAGAUAGGGUGGGCUUGAGGGCCUUUCGGGAUCCUGCCAGUAGGGUUGAGGGAGCUGAGGACCUGCAUGCCGCUGCUGCUGAGUCUGGCAGUGCCCCACAUUCUGAGUGCAGAAGGGACCCCCGAGAGGUGGGCAUUCUAUUGCAGGCUAUAAACCUGAAAUCAACUGACAGCGGACUUCUAGAGAUUUUGAUUCAGCCUAACUGAAACAUCUGCAUUUCCAUGAACUGCUUUGUCCCCUCCCUGCCAGAGUUAUCCUGGGGAGAAUUGGUCUGGAUUAGCCCUCAGGCCUCUCUCCUGCCAAGACUGCCCAUGGGCAGACCCGGCCAGGUGGUUCCUCGGGCCUUUACUUGGUCCUAAGGUCAGUGGAGGAUUUGGCCAUGAAUAAGUUUGUAAACCACUCCGGGCAUGGUGGAACAUGCCUGGAAUUCUAGCUAUUUGGGUGGCUGAGGCAGAAAGAUCACAAGUUCAAGGCCAGUCCGGAUAACUUGGCAAGACUCUUCCUGAAAAAAGAAAAAGGACUGAGGAUAUAGCUCAGUCCUCCAUGCUUCCAGUUCCCUGAAAAGGGGGCGGGGGCCUUACAACCCAACCAUCUUCGUUAAGAAGUUACCCAAAACGAAAAGCCAAUUUUUUUGUACUGGGGAAGAAACUCAGGACCUUCGAGGCAGGCACAGUGCCACUGAGCUAAUCCUCAGCCCAAGACAAAACUUUUUGGACAUGGGGAACCUGAGUCCCACCCUGAGUGUGGUGCUUCUCAGUCUCCCCCACCCCGAAUUCCCCCUGAAGUAGCCUGAACCUCAGACAAGAACAAAUGGGAACCUGGGGUUGGGAAGGGUCUAGAAGGGCUGUAUAGACCAUAAUACAUUUUCUAAAUCCUGCCUGAUUCUCAAGGUGAA